AGUAUAAAUAAUCGAAUAUUAAUCGUUAGUACGCAGAUGGUAUAUGGUUUCCGCCGUCAUUUUUUAAUUUCAUCGAAUUCGCCGAAUGUAUCUUUAACCACUAGAUAAGAAUCUUACCUAAGGUUCUUAAACCGUUUCUUUGAUUCUUUACGGGUCUCUUAAAAGUUAUAAAACUUUUGUCCAUACAGUACCUAAUCGAUGUUUUUUUAUGUGUAAAACACUGCAGUUAACACUGAGCAGGUUAUUAACCGUUGGUAUUAAUGAUGUUGUUUUAGAUUCUGAAUGUAGCGAAGAACGUAUUGGUUUUACAAAGAUUUUUUUUGUUUUUUUUUUAUACUAUUCCAAAAAUGUCUACUAGACAUUUUGCUCCGAUAUGUACGUAUAGCGUCAUUUCUGA
Molecule: non-coding RNA, 397 nt
Organism: Cinara cedri
Lineage: Eukaryota; Metazoa; Arthropoda; Insecta; Hemiptera; Aphididae
Source: the annotation of a GenBank genome assembly